Molecule: ribosomal RNA, 414 nt
Filed under: uncultured microorganism
Description: bacterial SSU rRNA
Rfam family: Archaeal small subunit ribosomal RNA
Source: RNAcentral
CAGCUGCCGCGGUAAUACCGGCGGCCCGAGUGGCGGUCACUAUUAUUGGGCUUAAAGCGUCCGUAGCCGGGUUGGGAAGUCCUCCGGGAAAUCUGGCCGCUUAACGGUCAGAAUGCCGGAGGAUACUCCCAGCCUAGGGAGCGGGAGAGGCCGAGGGGAUUCCCGGGGUAGGGGUGAAAUCCUAUAAUCCCGGGAGGACCACCUGUGGCGAAGGCGCUCGGCUGGAACGCGUCCGACGGUGAGGGACGAAGGCCAGGGGAGCAAACCGGAUUAGAUACCCGGGUAGUCCUGGCUGUAAACGAUGCGGACUUUGUGUCGGACAAGCUAUGAGCUUGUCCGGUGCCGGAGGGAAACCGUUAAGUCCGCCGCCUGGGGAGUACGGCCGCAAGGCUGAAACUUAAAGGAAUUGGCGGG